CCCAUAAUCAUACGCGUGAUCUAUAGUGAGUCGCUUACGAUUAAAGUCGAUUUUAACUGAGAAUAUAAUAAUAGGACGUGUGGUUCUAUUUUGUUGGUUUCUAGGACCGCCGUAAUGAUUAAUAGGGACAGUCGGGGGCAUCAGUAUUCAAUUGUCAGAGGUGAAAUUCUUGGAUUUAUUGAAGACUAACUACUGCGAAAGCAUUUGCCAAGGAUGUUUUCAUUAAUCAGGAACGAAAGUUAGGGGAUCGAAGACGAUCAGAUACCGUCGUAGUCUUAACCAUAAACUAUGCCGACUAGGGAUCGGACGAUGUUAUUUUUUGACGCGUUCGGCACCUUACGAGAAAUCAAAGUGCUUGGGCUCCAGGGGGAGUAUGGUCGCAAGGCUGAAACUUAAAGAAAUUGACGGAAGGGCACCACCAGGGGUGGGGCCUGCGGCUUAAUUUGACUCAACACGGGGAAACUCACCAGGUCCAGACACAAUGAGGAUUGACAGAUUGAGAGCUCUUUCUUGAUUUUGUGGGUGGUGGUGCAUGGCCGUUCUUAGUUGGUGGAGUGAUUUGUCUGCUUAAUUGCGAUAACAAACGAUACCUUAACCUGCUAAAUAGCCCGUAUUACUUUGGUAGUACGCUGGCUUCUUA
This 640-nucleotide ribosomal RNA is filed under the name uncultured fungus. RNAcentral describes it as "bacterial SSU rRNA". It matches the Rfam family "Eukaryotic small subunit ribosomal RNA", at positions 754 to 1413 of the family's 1831-position model. Lineage: Eukaryota; Fungi. The record is from RNAcentral.